This 485-nucleotide ribosomal RNA is filed under the name uncultured bacterium. RNAcentral's name for it is "bacterial SSU rRNA". It matches the Rfam family "Bacterial small subunit ribosomal RNA", at positions 96 to 564 of the family's 1533-position model. The record is from RNAcentral.
CGGCGGAUGGGUGAGUAUCACGUGGGCAACCUGCCUGUAAGAUUGGGAUAACUCGCGGAAACGUGAGCUAAUACCGAAUGAAGUCUUUCACCGCCUGGUGAAAGGAUGAAAGAUGGCUCUUGAGCUAUCACUUACAGAUGGGCCCGCGGCGCAUUAGCUAGUUGGUGGGGUAAAGGCCUACCAAGGCGACGAUGCGUAGCCGACCUGAGAGGGUGAUCGGCCACACUGGGACUGAGACACGGCCCAGACUCCUACGGGAGGCAGCAGUAGGGAAUCUUCCGCAAUGGACGAAAGUCUGACGGAGCAACGCCGCGUGAGUGAUGAAGGUCUUCGGAUCGUAAAACUCUGUUGUCAGGGAAGAACAAGUUGUGUUCUAACAGGACAUGACCUUGACGGUACCUGACCAGAAAGCCCCGGCUAACUACGUGCCAGCAGCCGCGGUAAUACGUAGGGGGCAAGCGUUGUCCGGAAUUAUUGGGCGUAAA